This 491-nucleotide ribosomal RNA is filed under the name uncultured bacterium. RNAcentral's name for it is "partial 16S ribosomal RNA". It matches the Rfam family "Bacterial small subunit ribosomal RNA", at positions 29 to 507 of the family's 1533-position model. The record is from RNAcentral.
GUGAACGCUGGCGGUAGGCCUAACACAUGCAGGUCGAACGGCAGCACAGUAAGAGCUUGCUCUUACGGGUGGCGAGUGGCGGACGGGUGAGGAAUACAUCGGAAUCUACUUUUUCGUGGGGGAUAACGUAGGGAAACUUACGCUAAUACCGCAUACGACCUACGGGUGAAAGCAGGGGAUCUUCGGACCUUGCGCGAAUGAAUGAGCCGAUGUCGGAUUAGCUAGUUGGCGGGGUAAAGGCCCACCAAGGCGACGAUCCGUAGCUGGUCUGAGAGGAUGAUCAGCCACACUGGAACUGAGACACGGUCCAGACUCCUACGGGAGGCAGCAGUGGGGAAUAUUGGACAAUGGGCGCAAGCCUGAUCCAGCCAUACCGCGUGGGUGAAGAAGGCCUUCGGGUUGUAAAGCCCUUUUGUUGGGAAAGAAAAGCAGCAGGUUAAUACCCCGCUGUUCUGACGGUACCCAAAGAAUAAGCACCGGCUAACUUCGUG